This 226-nucleotide ribosomal RNA is filed under the name Clostridioides difficile. Its description in RNAcentral is "partial 23S ribosomal RNA". It matches the Rfam family "Bacterial large subunit ribosomal RNA", at positions 1225 to 1451 of the family's 2925-position model. Lineage: Bacteria; Bacillati; Bacillota; Clostridia; Peptostreptococcales; Peptostreptococcaceae. The record is from RNAcentral.
UGGGUAGGGGAGCUUCCCAUACGGGUUGAAGCAUGACCGUAAGGACAUGUGGACAGUAUGGGAGUGAGAAUGUUGGCAUGAGUAGCGAGAUGUGGGUGGGAAUCCCACAGGCCGUAAACCCAAGGUUGCCAGGGGAAGGUUCGUCCGCCCUGGGUUAGUCGGGACCUAAGCUGAGGCCGAAAGGCGUAGGUGAUGGACAACAGGUUGAUAUUCCUGUACUACCGAU